This 456-nucleotide ribosomal RNA is filed under the name uncultured Sphingobacteriales bacterium. Its description in RNAcentral is "bacterial SSU rRNA". It matches the Rfam family "Bacterial small subunit ribosomal RNA", at positions 925 to 1382 of the family's 1533-position model. Lineage: Bacteria; Pseudomonadati; Bacteroidota; Sphingobacteriia; Sphingobacteriales. The record is from RNAcentral.
ACAAGCGGAGGAACAUGUGGUUAAUUCGAUGAUACGCGAGGAACCUUACCUGGGCUUAAAUGUAGAGUGCAUUUUCUAGAGAUAGGAAUUCCCUUCGGGGCUUUCUGCAAGGUGCUGCAUGGUUGUCGUCAGCUCGUGCCGUGAGGUGUCGGGUUAAGUCCCAUAACGAGCGCAACCCUUAUCGUUAGUUGCCAUCUGGUAAAGCAGGGGACUCUAGCGAAACUGCCACCGUAAGGUGAGAGGAAGGUGGGGAUGACGUCAAAUCAGCACGGCCCUUAUGUCCAGGGCUACACACGUGUUACAAUGGCCGGUACAGAGGGCAGCUACCUGGUGACAGGAUGCUAAUCUCGAAAACCGGUCUCAGUUCGGAUCGAAGUCUGCAACUCGACUUCGUGAAGCUGGAUUCGCUAGUAAUCGCGCAUCAGCCAUGGCGCGGUGAAUACGUUCCCGGGCCUU